UACAGAGGGGGCAAGCGUUGUCCGGAUUUACUGGGCGUACAGCGCGCGCAGGCGGUUGCGGAUGUGAGCGGUGACAUCCGCGGGCUCAACCCGCGGCGGCCCGCUUACACAGCGCGACUGGAGGCAGGGAGAGGGAUGUGGAAUACCCGGUGGAGCGGUGAAAUGCGUAGAGAUCGGGUGGAACACCAGCGGCGAAGGCGGCAUCCUGGCCCUGUACUGACGCUGAGGCGCGAUAGCGUGGGGAGCAAACGGG
This 253-nucleotide ribosomal RNA is filed under the name uncultured bacterium. RNAcentral's name for it is "partial 16S ribosomal RNA". It matches the Rfam family "Bacterial small subunit ribosomal RNA", at positions 524 to 776 of the family's 1533-position model. The record is from RNAcentral.